Medicago truncatula (barrel medic) is the source of this 1647-nucleotide long non-coding RNA. RefSeq lists it as uncharacterized. Lineage: Eukaryota; Viridiplantae; Streptophyta; Magnoliopsida; Fabales; Fabaceae. The transcript has 3 exons. The record is from RefSeq and is a predicted model, not a curated record.
GAGUAAUCUAUGCACAAUGAAAAACAUAAACAACUAUGUUUUUUCAGUUUACAGUGCUUCCUUUUUUGUGAUUACUUUUCAUAUGCCUUGUAUGCUUCAAAUUCUAAUGUCUAAGUCUUCAUUUUCUAAUUGAAAAAGUACUUUUGCAUGUGUUCUUAUUUUCCUGUUUUGCAUUCUUUUCAUGAUUUACAUUUCUGAUUCCAGAAAACUUGAUAACAUCCAACUAUGGAGCCACCCAAAUAGAUAAACAAGAACAAGAACAAGCAAAAGAACAAGGUGUUGUCACACAAAACGACAAACAAGAAGAACAACAAGGGUUGUGUACCCACUCAACUUCAACCUCAGCUCCAAACCCAACCUCACCCCCAACCUAUUCCAAAUAUAACACAACCUUCACUCACUCAACCCUAACCUCAGCCUCAACCUAUUCCGUAUUUGAUUCAUUCUAAACUAGCUCAAUCCCGACCACAACCUCAAUCCCGGACUAUUCCACCGUUGUUUCUAUCUCAACCUCAAUCCAUCCCAUCUCAACCCGGUCAAGCUCAAUCCAUGUUUAGAUCUAUAUCUCAAUUCCAACAUUCUCAACCUCAACUUCAAUCUACCCAAUCACACCUUCGACCACAAUCUACACAAUCUCACCCUCCAUUAACUCAACUUGAACCAAGUCAACCUCAACCUCGAUCACGGUCUCAAUCCACCCAACCUCACCCUCAAUCCACUCAACCUCAACGAAGUCAACCACUACCGCGGCCUCAAUCCAACCCAAUCUCACCCUCAAUCCACUCAACCUCAACAAAAUCAACCUCUACCGCGGCCUCAAUCCACCCAAUCUCACCCUCAACCCACUCAACCUCAACAAAAUCAACCUAAAAAACGACCCAUCCAUACCCAAGUUAUGGUCAAUAGAGCUCCAUCUUCAGCUAGCCAUGUUAGUGGAGACACCGUUGGUACUAAAAUACCAAUAAUUCCAGAUGGUGAGGGGUGAGUUUGUUGCUCCCAUAUAAUAAUGAUUAUUUGGCUAAUAUAAAUAUGGCUGACACAUGAUUCUGUUAACUUGCCUUUUGGAUCAAGUAACAAUGCAAGACUGUUGUGCUUGUGGUAUUAUGAUUUUAGUGGUCAAAUCUAAAAAUUCAUAUUAUUUUUUUUCGUGUACAUUAUAUUAUGGAGUUAACAGUCAAGUCAACCACAUUUAUAUUCAAAAAAAGAUGGACUUAUCUACUCAGAAUCUACCCAUUUAUAUUCUGGAGUUGCAAAUGAGGCACCAAAUGCAACGGCAAGAAAAAGAGAUGAGCAAAACUAAUAAAAAACUUGCUGUCAUUAUGAAACAUUUGGGAUUUGUUGGAUCUUCUUCCCAUGUUUCAAAUCCCAACAGUGAAUCAAAUGAGCACAUUGAUGAAGAGGACAACAAUGAUUUUUUUGAAGAUGACCAUGAUUUUUCUGAAGAUGUUGAUGAAGAUAACAAUAGUUAUCAUAUUGAUAACUAGUAACUUGGAGUCUCAAAUUAUGAUAAUGCUGGUGUUAUUGUGAAUCCUAAGGGAGAAAUGAAAGGUUCCGUUAUCACAGGACCAAUUGGAAAGGAGUGUGCUGAUCUUUGGCCUAGGAUUGCAAGUGCUGCCAAUGUCAUUGUAUGAGUGUUGAUUCUGUUUC